RNAcentral lists this ribosomal RNA (253 nucleotides) under uncultured bacterium. RNAcentral's name for it is "partial 16S ribosomal RNA". It matches the Rfam family "Bacterial small subunit ribosomal RNA", at positions 524 to 776 of the family's 1533-position model. The record is from RNAcentral.
UACGUAGGGUGCAAGCGUUAUCCGGAAUUAUUGGGCGUAAAGAGCUCGUAGGCGGUUUGUCGCGUCUGCUGUGAAAACCGGAGGCUCAACCUCCGGCCUGCAGUGGGUACGGGCAGACUAGAGUGCGGUAGGGGAGAUUGGAAUUCCUGGUGUAGCGGUGGAAUGCGCAGAUAUCAGGAGGAACACCGAUGGCGAAGGCGGCAUCCUGGACCGAUACUGACGCUGAGGAGCGAAAGCCAGGGGAGCAAACGGG